RNAcentral lists this ribosomal RNA (497 nucleotides) under uncultured bacterium. RNAcentral describes it as "partial 16S ribosomal RNA". It matches the Rfam family "Bacterial small subunit ribosomal RNA", at positions 28 to 507 of the family's 1533-position model. The record is from RNAcentral.
GAUGAACGCUGGCGGCGUGCCUAAUACAUGCAAGUCGAGCGAACAGACGAGGAGCUUGCUCCUCUGACGUUAGCGGCGGACGGGUGAGUAACACGUGGAUAACCUACCUAUAAGACUGGGAUAACUUCGGGAAACCGGAGCUAAUACCGGAUAAUAUAUUGAACCGCAUGGUUCAAUAGUGAAAGACGGUUUUGCUGUCACUUAUAGAUGGAUCCGCGCCGCAUUAGCUAGUUGGUACGGUAACGGCUUACCAAGGCAACGAUGCGUAGCCGACCUGAGAGGGUGAUAGGCCACACUGGAACUGAGACACGGUCCAGACUCCUACGGGAGGCAGCAGUAGGGAAUCUUCCGCAAUGGGCGAAAGCCUGACGGAGCAACGCCGCGUGAGUGAUGAAGGUCUUCGGAUCGUAAAACUCUGUUAUGAGGGAAGAACAAAUGUGUAAGUAACUAUGCACGUCUUGACGGUACCUAAUCAGAAAGCCACGGCUAACUACGUG